AGAAAAAAAUAAUAAUUAGUGCAUUCAUUAUGACCACUUUUUGUUGUGUUUCCCAAGUAAGACUUUACGAGACAGCUCUGACUUUUACACCUGAUAUUUCAUUACAGACUACAUUCACAAAGGAAAUUCAUACGCAUGCCAUCCACACGGCAAUGUAGCAUGCAUGACAAAUGUCACUGUGUCAGACCUUGGGUGCCCUUUACUCACUACACAAGUAUGAGCCUGCACAACAUCCAACCACUGUAAGGAGGCUGAUGUCUGGUAAACACUGCCUUCAACUACAGGUGGCUGGGACCUUUACCUACAGGUGGCACGCUGGUGGCUGGGACACAAGAUGAGUCCUCGAGCACUUAACUGCGUGUAUUGAUGGAAAAUGCCUCGCACUCCUCAGGCACAACCUCCUGGACGUGUGCCCUAGCAGCUGCCAACAACCCUGCCACUUCCUCACUUGAAGGGCUUGGAGAAUAAAUACACCAGGAAGGUGUGCUGAUGAACACGCUCUGCCCAGGAUAGACGUGGGCCAGCACCAGGCGCUGCUCACGGUUUCAGCCCGCCGGGCCCCGCCGCUGUCGUUACCCCAAAAUCCCACUUUUUCCUCGUAGAUAUCCCCACAGAGCCCGCCCAGCCGCACCUCAGGGCGGUCACCGCACCCUCAGGCCCGACAGAACGAGGUUAGCCCCCGCCGCGGGCAGCCUGCACACCGCCCAGGCGCUGGUUUUGCCUUCGGACAGGACACACACCCCCAAGACCCGGCGCCCAGCUCCUCAACUCGCCCAAAUCCCUCCCGGCCCGCGACGUGCGCCCACCGCCGCCGCCUGCCUCACCUCACCUGCGCGCCCGCCGACCGGCCUCCGCCACACCACGCAUGCGCUCCACCGCCCCCCNNNNNNNNNNNNNNNNNNNNNNNNNCCGCCCUGGAGCCGCCCCUGUGCGGCGCGGCGAAAUGGCGGCGGCGCGGCGACAAGAUGGCGGCGGGAGGGCGGUGGGCGGAGCUGCGUAAUGCGCGCCCCACAGCCGCGGAGAGGGCCGCAAGCUCACGGCUGUGUAAAACUGGGAUCCUUGUAUCAGUGAGAGCUUGGUUUGAACAAGCUGUGAUGCCCUGUCAUCUACAGAUGUCCAGUCAUCUGUUGCAUUUGGCAGGGAAAAUACAGUGUUUGCAAACAUUACAAGGCACCCUAGGAGAAGAGCACUGGCCCUGA
Molecule: long non-coding RNA, 1199 nt
Filed under: Anser cygnoides (Swan goose)
Lineage: Eukaryota; Metazoa; Chordata; Aves; Anseriformes; Anatidae
Description: lncRNA (ENSACDG00005010433.1)
Source: RNAcentral